RNAcentral lists this ribosomal RNA (468 nucleotides) under uncultured bacterium. Its description in RNAcentral is "partial 16S ribosomal RNA". It matches the Rfam family "Bacterial small subunit ribosomal RNA", at positions 28 to 507 of the family's 1533-position model. The record is from RNAcentral.
GACGAACGCUGGCGGCGUGCUUAACACAUGCAAGUCGAACGGAAAGGCCCUGCUUUUGUGGGGUGCUCGAGUGGCGAACGGGUGAGUAACACGUGAGUAACCUGCCCUUGACUUUGGGAUAACUUCAGGAAACUGGGGCUAAUACCGGAUAGGAGCUCCUGCUGCAUGGUGGGGGUUGGAAAGUUUCGGCGGUUGGGGAUGGACUCGCGGCUUAUCAGCUUGUUGGUGGGGUAGUGGCUUACCAAGGCUUUGACGGGUAGCCGGCCUGAGAGGGUGACCGGCCACAUUGGGACUGAGAGACGGCCCAGACUCCUACGGGAGGCAGCAGUGGGGAAUAUUGCACAAUGGGCGGAAGCCUGAUGCAGCAACGCCGCGUGCGGGAUGACGGCCUUCGGGUUGUAAACCGCUUUCGCCUGUGACGAAGCGUGAGUGACGGUAAUAGGUAAAGAAGCACCGGCUAACUACGUG